UACGUAGGGUGCGAGCGUUGUCCGGAAUUAUUGGGCGUAAAGAGCUCGUAGGCGGCUUGUCACGUCGGAUGUGAAAGCCCGAGGCUUAACCUCGGGUCUGCAUUCGAUACGGGCAGGCUAGAGUGUGGUAGGGGAGAUCGGAAUUCCUGGUGUAGCGGUGAAAUGCGCAGAUAUCAGGAGGAACACCGGUGGCGAAGGCGGAUCUCUGGGCCAUUACUGACGCUGAGGAGCGAAAGCGUGGGGAGCGAACAGG
Molecule: ribosomal RNA, 253 nt
Filed under: uncultured bacterium
Lineage: Bacteria
Description: partial 16S ribosomal RNA
Rfam family: Bacterial small subunit ribosomal RNA
Source: RNAcentral